CUGUCCAGCAGCUGCAUUGUACACACUGUGUGUGGCACCGGAACGCACAGCGCAUGCAAUGUGGAGGCUGGGCAC
This 75-nucleotide microRNA precursor is filed under the name Lepidothrix coronata (blue-crowned manakin). RNAcentral describes it as "mir-460 microRNA precursor family". It matches the Rfam family "mir-460 microRNA precursor family". The record is from Rfam by way of RNAcentral. Lineage: Eukaryota; Metazoa; Chordata; Aves; Passeriformes; Pipridae. RNAcentral also lists the same sequence under 1 other name.